GAGCUCUCUGGCUGAGGCUGACACAGAGCAAACAAGAACAGGAGUGGAAAGGGGAUUUAAAAAGCAAACAACAGGCAGAAGAAACCAACAACCAAACAGCAGAACUGAUAUCUAGAGGCUGCUGAGGAGCAGCAUGGAGCAGCCUGCAGAAGCCCCUCAGGCAGCACCCCGGCGAAUCUCCCAGGAGAGACAGAGGCUCACAGGUCUGCCCUUGUACUUCCAAGGUUACCUAUCAGUCCGGCGCUCGCAGUGCCAGGAAUUUAGACUGUUUUGGACAGAACUGAGAGGAACUAUGCUCUUCUUUUAUGAUGAUAAGAAGGCACCAACAUACUCACACAAACUAGAUAUAUCGGCUUUGACCUCAGUAACCAGUAUUUAUCCAAAUGAAAACGACUCUGCACAGUUCAUCCUGAUGUUGUUGAAUGAAAAGCUGGAAGUGAAGGCUGAUAACUGUGAGCAUGGGAAAGAAUGGAAGGGUUUUAUUCUCACCGUAACAAAGUUGUCAGUUCCACUGGAUGAGUCGUUAUCACUUGAACAACUUACAAGAAUACAUGAAGUGCUAGAUAAAGAAAAGAAAAGAAGGGUUAUGCUUACUGACUGUUCCAGCACAACCCAGAAUAAAGAAAGCCUUUCCAGCAAGGACUACAGUAGUACAGUGACUGCUAUGCCAGCGUGCUUCUAUGCAGUGUCUCGGAAAGAAGCAAUAGAGAUGUUAGAAAAUAACCCUUUGUGUGGGAAUUUGAUCCUGCGUCCUGGCAGUGACAGCAAGAACUAUGCAAUCACUGUCCGACAGAUGCUGGAUGCUCCAUGCAUAAAGCACUACAGAGUGACAUCCAGAGAAAGAAGUUACAUUAUUGAAUUGGAAAGACAGGUGACAGUUAGAAGCCUUCAGGAUGUCAUCAGUUACUUUGUGAUCCAAACCCAUGGAAACCUGAAGCCUUUCAUCAUGCAGACAUGCAACGAGGCUCUGCAGAAGGACCACAGUUCUGAAAGCAAAACACGAGUAAAGUCCUGAUGAAAGACAGAGGCACAAAAAGGAGCCAGUGUCCAUCCUCUGGGAAACUGGAGAUCCAGCCUUCAAAACAAGUACCCAAAGUGGGUACUGAAGACAAUUGGGACACUCCAAGACAGCAUAGAUACUUAUUAUAUUUUGAUUUUUGCUGCUUGCAGCACAAAUGGAAGAGCAGUUUUGCAUUCCUGGGAAUUUUGCUCUGCAAUGCACAGCAAGUCUGACAGGCCUGGCAUCAGCCUUACUGCACAGCACCUGGAUGCACAGAUCUGUCUGCGGUCUCCUCAUUGCACAUAAAGGAGCAUUACUCAUGCAGAGGACUUGAAGUAGUUCAGGAGAUAAGAAGCAAAAUGUAAACACGUGACUUGCAGGAAGAUCCAGUUAGAAAAGACAAAGUCUAACAUGAAAAACAAAGGAUAGGCAAGCAACAAAGAGGCUGUAAGUAGUAAAAAUAAUAACUAAAAUAAAAACUCCACAACAAGAUUCCUAAUAUACUUAGAAAAUGCCUGAAAAAGAUCUUUCAAGGCAGUUAUUAUGUUACAUAGGAAAUGGUCCACCAAAAUAAGGAUUUACGACUUCAGAGCUAACUGAAAAUACUUAAUUCACUACUCAUGCAUUUUUCUGGUUUGAAUUACAAACCAAGACGAAUAUAUAUACAAACAGCUGCUGAACAAUCCAUGCUGAAGGACAGAUUAAGAAUCACUUUAGUUAGUUCUUGGAAAGGACAGGAAAAUUGGAUGCUGGAUCAGAAUUGUAUGCCUAUAUACCCAGGUUAUGAAAUAAGAACACUACUGCAGUAUCGAUUACCUGUUCUGUGAAAGGAACACAGUACACUGUAGCGAAGAGUUUUGCUGCGCUCACAAUGAAAUCAUAGUGCCUAAAGUGGAAGAUAAUUUUUAAUUAAUUUAUUUUAAGUUUUAAUUAGCCACAUGCACAUUUGCAACCAUAUUCAAAGAGAUCUUGCAAAUAUACAUAGAGAAACAGAAUUUCUAACCUUCAGAGCACACUGUCUAAAAUAAAGAUUUUGAGGUCCUCAGAAGUCCUCCCCAAAAUUAAGUGACAUUUUGUGAGUGUGAAGUUAUUUAAUGCUAGGAUUAACUGUAUUUUCUUAACCCCUGCAGUCAUGAGAGCAACUAUAAAAUCUUACACAACAUCAAUGCGAGGAUAGAAAUCUUCACCUCAAAAAUACCCUGAUUCUUAGAAUGAUCUCAGUUUUCACCCACACUAAGAAUGAGGAGUAUUUCUUUAGUCACACAGUAAGCAGAACGUGUUGUUCUAAGCCUUUUCAUACUAGACAGAUACUGUCAGAACUUCCCAUAGCACCCUCUGAUGUAAUGUCAGUUAGAGUUAAAUUACCUGCAGUGAAAGUUUAAGAUGGAUCACUCUGUCUGCCACUGUAUAAAACUCUGCACUAGUACCCAUCAAAUACCAGUCCAACCUGUAGUGCUACAACGCCACUGCUCUACUACGGGGUGAGCUUCAAAAGAUGUUUUAAAAUGCAGAGCAAUACUUACAAAGGAUCGUUAAAAUCAAACUUCACUGGGAAAGGUGGCCUCUUUGGUGACUGCCAGAACAAACCUGGUUAGAAGACAGACUUAAGAUGAAGUCCUAGAACAGCAACACAUGACACAAGCCAUGAAUUCACAGCAGGCACACGGAGGUGUUUGUACUUACUUCCAUCUUUUAAUCGUGUAUCAAGAGGAAACGAAUGAAGAAGCUGAAGAGCCUAAAAGGAAAGAGAGUAGCUUUAGCAGUUUGUCAGACUGAUGCAACAUCACAAAACCAAAAUCUCCUUUUUAGUAAUAAUAUGAAAUCUUUACACAUCUUCUAAGGCUCUCCAAUGUAUACCACAAGUCAUUUAAAGAGUUAAAAUCUAAGAUACCUGUAUCAAUACGGAGAGCUUAAAGACACAAGUACACGUAGACAGAAUGACUUAAUCAUUCACAGGAUGAAGAUGACAAUGUCACCACGUGUCAGAUCCCACCUACCACCCCACCAGUCCCAGCUCCAAGCAAAAUAAGCUUUCUUAUUACUAAUUUCAUUUUUUAUUUUUAUUUUAUUACUAAUUACUAAAUUACUAAUAUACUCCUCUCUACUACAGAAUUCCCCCCGUCCUUCCCCAAACACACUUGAAGCAACACUGUGGAUCACAACUGAAUAACGACUGGCCCACAUUUCAGCCAACCUUUCUGUGAUAGCUUAAAGAAAAAUCAAGGAUACAAAUAUGAAGAGAUGAGUAACACAGAGUUUAGUGGGAGAUAAAGAAAGGUAUUGUACUUUAAUAAGAGAUACCUAAUCAGUUGGGAAAAAUGCCAACAGAACUGCAUGGAGAAUCCUAAAUAGAGCUAUUAGGGAAUAGUUAAUAGAGCAGUCUAAAAAAAGAAAUCCCCCCCAAAAAACUCUACAGUUAAAAGAGGUAGGGAUGCUACAGUUUUAGAUUUCAAGCAAAGCUUGUUAUUAAUGAAGAAGAGAAGGAAACACAUGCAAAGACUUGGAAAACUAUUUCUUUAGGGAUACCAUGUCCCUGUCAGUCCACAGGUGCCCCAUUUCCACACCCUAGCUACCUACCUUGUG
RNA transcript from Gallus gallus (chicken), 3583 nucleotides. It is a transcript of the gene named signal transducing adaptor family member 1, with no coding region annotated. NCBI's taxonomy places the organism in Eukaryota, Metazoa, Chordata, Aves, Galliformes, Phasianidae. The transcript is spliced from 9 exons. The record is from RefSeq and is a predicted model, not a curated record.